RNAcentral lists this ribosomal RNA (253 nucleotides) under uncultured bacterium. RNAcentral describes it as "partial 16S ribosomal RNA". It matches the Rfam family "Bacterial small subunit ribosomal RNA", at positions 524 to 776 of the family's 1533-position model. The record is from RNAcentral.
UACGGAGGGUGCAAGCGUUGUUCGGAUUUACUGGGCGUAAAGCGCGCUCAGGUGGGUGAACAAGUCGGAAGUGAAAUCUUGAGGCUCAACCUCGAGGCUGCUCCCGAAACUGUUCGCCUAGGGACUGGUAGAGGCUGGUAGAAUUCCCGGUGUAGCGGUGGAAUGCGUAGAGAUCGGGAAGAAUACCUGUGGCGAAGGCGGCCAGCUGGGCCAGAUCCGACACUGAGGCGCGAAAGCGUGGGGAGCAAACAGG